RNAcentral lists this ribosomal RNA (465 nucleotides) under uncultured bacterium. RNAcentral's name for it is "partial 16S ribosomal RNA". It matches the Rfam family "Bacterial small subunit ribosomal RNA", at positions 28 to 507 of the family's 1533-position model. The record is from RNAcentral.
GACGAACGCUGGCGGCGUGCUUAACACAUGCAAGUCGAGCGGUAAGGCCCCUUCGGGGGUACACGAGCGGCGAACGGGUGAGUAACACGUGAGCAAUCUGCCCAUCACAUCGGGAUAACUCCGGGAAACCGAAGCUAAUACCGAAUACGACCACCUCCGGCAUCGGAUGGUGGUGGAAAGUUCCGGCGGUGAUGGAUGAGCUCGCGGCCUAUCAGCUUGUUGGUGGGGUAACGGCCCACCAAGGCUUCGACGGGUAGCCGGCCUGAGAGGGUGACCGGCCACACUGGGACUGAGACACGGCCCAGACUCCUACGGGAGGCAGCAGUGGGGAAUAUUGGACAAUGGGCGGAAGCCUGAUCCAGCAACGCCGCGUGAGGGAUGACGGCCUUCGGGUUGUAAACCUCUUUCAGCAGGGACGAAGCGCAAGUGACGGUACCUACAGAAGAAGCACCGGCCAACUACGUG